CCUAGAUAGAUGGAAUGCGAGUGUUCACACAGAUUGUCUGAUGAAAUAGCGCGUAAAACCAAUCUAAGAUUGACUGAAGAGCUUGAAGUCCCCUUCGUCUAGAGGCCUAGGACAUCGCCCUUUCACGGCGGUAACAGGGGUUCGAAUCCCCUAGGGGACGCCACUUUAGUAAUUUAGAAAGGCGGUGCAUCACCCUUUUAGUGUUGUGCACUGUUUGUGCUUUACGCAAUAAUGAUUAAACCAAUUUAGUGAGUUGGUUUACUAAUAAUGCUCUUUAACAAUCUGGAACAAGCUGAAAAUUGAAACACACAUUAUUGAAAAAAUAGUGUGGGGAACUCUCAAACUCCAAUUUGAAGUGUUAUUCAAAUAGGCAGACGAAUGGCAUGGGGAACUCUCAAACUCCAAUUUGAAGUGUUAUUCAAAUAGGCAGACGAAUGGCAUGAGCGAGCAGGGUGAAAUUUGCGGCGUAGGUGCGCAGUCAGCGCAGUGUACAUAAGUACGUGAGCAUGACGAGUACCGCACAACAAAAAAUUUCGCACGGCGCAGCCAUGGCGCUUCCGUAUUAUUUGAUAAGAGACACCUUCGGGUUGUGA
This 593-nucleotide unclassified non-coding RNA is filed under the name uncultured Pseudomonadota bacterium. Its description in RNAcentral is "uncultured proteobacterium miscellaneous RNA". The stretch from base 88 to 160 matches the Rfam family "tRNA". The record is from RNAcentral. Lineage: Bacteria; Pseudomonadati; Pseudomonadota.